RNAcentral lists this unclassified non-coding RNA (302 nucleotides) under plant metagenome. RNAcentral's name for it is "partial contains small subunit ribosomal RNA, internal transcribed spacer 1, and 5.8S ribosomal RNA". The record is from RNAcentral.
UUUCCGUAGGUGAACCUGCGGAAGGAUCAUUAAUGGGAAAUCAAAUCAAAUCAAAACAAAUGUUCUGUUGCACUGGGUGUGCUGUGUGGUGGUGGUGUGAGACAUGGAGAUUCAAUCAUUGGAGAUUCAAUCAUUGGAGAUUCAAUCAUUGGAGAUUCAAUCAUUGGAAUUUCAAUCAUUGGAGAUUCAAUCAUUCAAUCUCAAUCAUCGCCACACAACACAACUAUCUAUCACACUCGAUCAACAACAACACACUCACACACAACAGCAAACAACUUUUAACAAUGGAUCUCUUGGCUCUU